Odocoileus virginianus texanus is the source of this 523-nucleotide long non-coding RNA. RefSeq lists it as uncharacterized. The record is from RefSeq and is a predicted model, not a curated record. NCBI's taxonomy places the organism in Eukaryota, Metazoa, Chordata, Mammalia, Artiodactyla, Cervidae.
GCACUGCAGUAAUACAAUGGAAGAUAUUAUGAACUCAGACUGAGGAAUCAGGGAGAACUUAGGGAGCAGGCAACAUUCCAGAAAGGCUUAAAGGGUGAAUAGGCUAUUUUUAAGCAGAUAUAGGCGAAUGAAAUUCUACACGGAAGAAAGAGAAUGACUGAAAGCACAGAGGUACAAACAGGAUGGGGAAAAGGAGGCAAGCAAGAGAAAGUGGUAGAGAGCUAUCAGAGAACAAGAGGACAGAGAGUGUUAUCAAGUCAAGUGUGCUGACAACUACAAGGACAAGUUACCUGUCUUUCUGCUGUAUGCCAAUUAACAAAGAAAUCAAGCUCAUUUUGGAUUUUGGAAAACAGCUCACAGGAAACAUCCUGACCAGACCCACCUGUGAAUGACCACAGGAAGGAAGAAAUGGAACACAUUCCCUCUGGAGUCUGACUGGAACCAGGACUUUACCCCCCCUCCUUUUUGAAAUAAAAGAAACCUAUAUUCUAACCCAGGGAGGAUGGUUUAGGGUACACUAGUC